UUCUCACCAUGACUGCACAACCUUAGUCUUAUCAACCUCUCUUCUUUUUCAUAUAUUUCCUUUGAAGCAGACAGCACAGGAAGUUCCAUGCCAACAGCCCUUCAGAAGUGAAACUUAAUAAUUGAGAGAAGCAAAUAGUACAUCAGAGGAUUUUCUCCCUUUUUGCCAUGGCUCUUAAGACUUCAAAGUGUGACAACUACUGUGAAUCUCUUUUAAGGAUGUGGCAACCUCAGAACUCCAGAGAGCAUUGCUCCGAGCCAUUGCUAACAUAAGCAAAGAUGCAUGUGAGACUCUACUGCUGUGAUGAGAAACAACAGACAAUGAUGCCAACCAUGGGAAAAUCAGAAUGACAACAUUGGCUCAUACAAACAGCGAGGAAGUGACAACGCAGGUUCCUUGGUUUGAAAAUGGAGAAGAAUGCCUCCCCCAGAGCCAGAGAUAAGCACUGCCUCCAGAAGCCAGAAAUGAAAGAAGCCUUUACCUUGUCUGUGUUUGUGUGUCUCAUUGUAUGUGAUUGUAAGGCACUGAAUGUUUGCCUAUGUCUGCUGUAAAUGAUGUAAAAAGCUCUAAGUCCCCAAGGGCAGAAGGGCGGAAUAUCAA
This is a long non-coding RNA of Anolis carolinensis (green anole), 600 nucleotides long. RefSeq lists it as uncharacterized. NCBI's taxonomy places the organism in Eukaryota, Metazoa, Chordata, Lepidosauria, Squamata, Anolidae. The transcript has 4 exons. The record is from RefSeq and is a predicted model, not a curated record.